CUUGCUAAAGCCAUCUGUUUCAUC
Molecule: non-coding RNA, 24 nt
Filed under: Arabidopsis thaliana (thale cress)
Lineage: Eukaryota; Viridiplantae; Streptophyta; Magnoliopsida; Brassicales; Brassicaceae
Source: RNAcentral